CACUCAUCGUUUACGGCAUGGACUACCAGGGUAUCUAAUCCUGUUCGCUACCCAUGCUUUCGAGCCUCAGCGUCAGUUGCAGACCAGAGAGCCGCCUUCGCCACUGGUGUUCUUCCAUAUAUCUACGCAUUCCACCGCUACACAUGGAGUUCCACUCUCCUCUUCUGCACUCAAGAAAAACAGUUUCCGAUGCAGUUCCUCGGUUAAGCCGAGGGCUUUCACAUCAGACUUAUUCUUCCGCCUGCGCUCGCUUUACGCCCAAUAAAUCCGGACAACGCUUGCCACCUACGUAUUACCGCGGCUGCUGGCACGUAGUUAGCCGUGACUUUCUGGUUGAUUACCGUCAAAUAAAGGCCAGUUACUACCUCUAUCCUUCUUCACCAACAACAGAGCUUUACGAUCCGAAAACCUUCUUCACUCACGCGCGUUGCUCCAUCAGACUUGCGUCCAUUGUGGAAGAUUCCCUACUGCUGCCUCCGUAGGAGUUUGGGCCGUGUCUCAGUCCCAAUGUGGCCGAUCAGUCUCUCAACUCGGCUAUGCAUCAUCGCCUUGGUAAGCCUUUACCUUACCAACUAGCUAAUGCACCGCGGGGGCCAU
This 597-nucleotide ribosomal RNA is filed under the name Lactobacillus crispatus. RNAcentral's name for it is "16S ribosomal RNA". The record is from RNAcentral. Lineage: Bacteria; Bacillati; Bacillota; Bacilli; Lactobacillales; Lactobacillaceae.